RNAcentral lists this ribosomal RNA (449 nucleotides) under uncultured bacterium. Its description in RNAcentral is "bacterial SSU rRNA". It matches the Rfam family "Bacterial small subunit ribosomal RNA", at positions 329 to 794 of the family's 1533-position model. The record is from RNAcentral.
GCCCAGACUCCUACGGGAGGCAGCAGUGGGGGAUAUUGCACAAUGGGGGGAACCCUGAUGCAGCGACGCCGCGUGGGUGAAGGAGUAUUUCGGUAUGUAAAGCUCUAUCGGCAGGGAAGAAGCAAGACGGUACCUGGCUAAGAAGCCCCGGCUAACUGCGUGCCAGCAGCCGCGGGAAUACGUAGGGGGCGAGCGUUAUCCGGAUUCACUGGGUGUAAAGGGAGCGUAGACGGCCAAGCAAGCCAGGGGUGAAAGCCCGGGGCCCAACCCCGGGACUGCCCUUGGAACUGCAUGGCUGGAGUGCGGGAGGGGCAGGCGGAAUUCCUGGUGUAGCGGUGAAAUGCGUAGAUAUCAGGAGGAACACCGGUGGCGAAGGCGGCCUGCUGGACUGCAACUGACGUUGAGGCCCGAAAGCGUGGGGAGCAAACAGGAUUAGAUACCCCAGUAGA